Molecule: ribosomal RNA, 253 nt
Filed under: uncultured bacterium
Lineage: Bacteria
Description: partial 16S ribosomal RNA
Rfam family: Bacterial small subunit ribosomal RNA
Source: RNAcentral
UACGAAGGGGGCUAGCGUUGCUCGGAAUCACUGGGCGUAAAGGGUGCGUAGGCGGGGUUUUAAGUCAGGGGUGAAAUCCUGGAGCUCAACUCCAGAACUGCCUUUGAUACUGAAGAUCUUGAGUCCGGGAGAGGUGAGUGGAACUGCGAGUGUAGAGGUGAAAUUCGUAGAUAUUCGCAAGAACACCAGUGGCGAAGGCGGCUCACUGGCCCGAUACUGACGCUGAGGUGCGAAAGCGUGGGGAGCAAACAGG